CUGUUAUUUAUAUGCUAUCAAUGUAUCCGGGUACUAGAGGGUCAUGAGUGGUGCAUGCUGGGAGUUGUAGGAAAGGGGCCGGUAACGUUCUGUAACAAGGUUUCGGUACAAUGAGCUUCUUAUGGGAGUUCACGAUAAGUGAGAGGUAGAGGUUGGGAGAAAACAUCGCGAGAGAAUACACAUCUGGUUCCAUCUAGAAACCUGUGUGUGUUUCAUGAGGCACAGGAGGUACCAUGAGAGAAAUAUUUUCUGUUGUACAUUUCUCUCAAACCUUUUUUUAGACAGGAAAGGAAACCACCGCAGUGUUCUCCUGUAUCCAACAUCCAAAGUCCUCCAGUCCCAAUCAGAAAAAUGUGGACUGAGGAUGAAAACAACAAAAACAGAAGUCUUAAGUGAGAUACUCUGAACAAUGAGAUUCAAUGGAGCGUUUAAAAAGAAGGCAGAGACAAGGAAAUAAAG
Hyla sarda is the source of this 459-nucleotide long non-coding RNA. RefSeq lists it as uncharacterized. Lineage: Eukaryota; Metazoa; Chordata; Amphibia; Anura; Hylidae. The record is from RefSeq and is a predicted model, not a curated record. The transcript is spliced from 3 exons.